UUCCAUAUCUUCAAUCAAAUUAAACAUGUACAACUGUUACAUUACAAUGUUUCAUGGUAUUUUUCAUCAGUUGUUUUAUAUGAAAUGUAAUUUCCACCACACUCUGUCAUUGCCACAAUGCUAAUUCAUCACCAUCACAGUACAUAUUUUUGAGGCAAAGGUGUAUUAAAAUACAAUUGAUAUUGACUAUUUUUCCCAUAUGUGGACCGUAUAUGCGUGUUCUUAAGAUAACUCCUAAAAUAAUGUAAAAUAUUACGAUUUUAAUGUGGUAAAUUCAGGUUUCUAAGUAUCAUUAAGGCACAUAUGGACAUUUGACAUGACAAUGAUGAAUACAUUUAAUUAAGAAAACUUCCAAAUAGUAAAGAAAUACAUGAAAAAAUCUAAUUUGUGUAAAAUGUUAUACGAAAUACCAUAGGCACAAUUUCUGUAAAUUCCUUUUCAGCUAAAAUAGAAAAUGUUAUGACGUGGUGGUAAUGACAUUUCCCCUCUGGUAUUUGGGGAAACUGAUUAAAAGCUUUAUAUUCUUAAAUAGUAUGGUCUUAGCCACUAGUAGAUCUUGUUUCCAGACAGUGUGACGAACAUUUUCAGAAAGAUAAAAAGCAGUUUCAAUAGGUUUCAUUUUCAAAAACAUUUAACAUCCAAACGUGCCCGUAUUCGUAAAAUCAACCGGCUAUGAAACGAAACAGCAGAAAUACUUUGAAAAGAGCUACUGCAGUAUUUUUAUAACCCUAAUAUAGGGGCGUGUCAUGCCAAAUAGUGUCCCCCUCUACGUCACAAUGGGAUUCGAUUAGUUCUGGCUUCUGCUGCUAGGGCUGUUGCUUGAAUUUGAAACAUUCUGACAGGAUUACGUAAUGAAUCAAAGCGUCCGUUGCUAUGCUGGUUGCCUGGUUACCUCGUAGCGGUCGCGAAGGAAGGAGGACGCGGACAGUUCUAGUUCUAUUUCACCUCAGAAGCGCUCGCUUAGUCCGGGCAAAAAAUGUUUCCUCCGAAUUGCUCUCCAAGGACGGUGUUUUUGACCGUGACAACCUGCUGACUACCUGCUGCUUCAGUGGACCGAAGAGACUGGAAAGAGAACACUAUUUAUUUACCAUAGCGAGACCCAUACAGAAAGAGAGAGAGAGGAAGAAAGUGAGAAAGAAAGUGACAGAGGGAGAGAGAGAGGUGGGAAUAGAGUGAAAAACAGAGAGAGAAAUGAAGAGCGAGAGAAAGACAUCAAUGCAAACUUACUUAGACUUUAGUAUUUCAACAACUCUUCUCUUCCAAUUUUUUAGGCAAUCACAUGUACCUACCGGGGAAGGAUGGCCAGCCACACAGGAGAGUGAUUUUCACCAAGGAGGAAAUGGAGGCCGUGCUGACAGAGAUGCAUGCUGGACAUUUCGGAGUGAAUCGCAUGAUUGCCAAAAUCAACGGUCAACCACUGAAAUCCCUGACGCCUUACACUUCGGUGAAGCCCGUGAGACAAAGUAUGUUAAGCCUUGGUUGACAUUUGAGAAAGCAAUAAAUGGUUGUUAUGCUGAGCUCAUGAAAAAAGACAAGCCAGUGUAUGAAUCAAAUGUAUUUGCAUAUGAAUGGAGUGGAAAUUAACUGAUUUUGUGAUCUGCUAGGUAAGCAACUUUAAUGUGUCAAGCAGAUUACAUGUUUUCAUUGCCAUUUCCAAAACGUAGCAACGUGUUUAAGACAUGGAUUUCAUGUUGUAAUGUUAUCAAGGUACCAAAAUGUGGUUAGAAUUCAUGUUGCUAAAUGACUUAAAUGUAAAUGUAAUGUAAAUGUAUGUUUUCAUUUUAUUAGCUAAACAAAACAUGUUUAAACAGUGAAUAAAUCAGCCUUGUUUGCAUA
Oncorhynchus gorbuscha (pink salmon) is the source of this 1836-nucleotide long non-coding RNA. RefSeq lists it as uncharacterized. The transcript is spliced from 2 exons. NCBI's taxonomy places the organism in Eukaryota, Metazoa, Chordata, Actinopteri, Salmoniformes, Salmonidae. The record is from RefSeq and is a predicted model, not a curated record.